UAGCGUAUAUUAAAGUUGUUGCAGUUAAAAAGCUCGUAGUCGGAUUUCGGGGCGGGCCGAGCGGUCUGCCGAUGGGUAUGCACUGUUCGGCGCGUCCUUCUUUCCGGAGACUAGUUCUACUCUUAACUGAGCGGGACUGGGAGACGGAUCGUUUACUUUGAAAAAAUCAGAGUGUUUCAAGCAGGCAGCUCGCUCUUGCAUGGAUUAGCAUGGGAUAAUGAAAUAGGACUCUGGUGCUAUUUUGUUGGUUUCGAACACCGGAGUAAUGAUUAACAGGGACAGUCAGGGGCACUCGUAUUCCGUCGAGAGAGGUGAAAUUCUCAGACCAAUGGAAGACGAACCACUGCGAAAGCAUUUG
RNAcentral lists this ribosomal RNA (358 nucleotides) under Haptophyta environmental samples. RNAcentral's name for it is "SSU rRNA". It matches the Rfam family "Eukaryotic small subunit ribosomal RNA", at positions 595 to 957 of the family's 1831-position model. The record is from RNAcentral. Lineage: Eukaryota; Haptophyta.